This 627-nucleotide ribosomal RNA is filed under the name Devriesia sp. RNAcentral describes it as "partial large subunit ribosomal RNA". It matches the Rfam family "Eukaryotic large subunit ribosomal RNA", at positions 76 to 730 of the family's 3401-position model. Lineage: Eukaryota; Fungi; Ascomycota; Dothideomycetes; Mycosphaerellales; Teratosphaeriaceae. The record is from RNAcentral.
UGCCCUAGUAACGGCGAGUGAAGCGGCAACAGCUCAAAUUUGAAAUCUGGCACCCGCCCGAGUUGUAAUUUGUAGAGGAUGCUUCUAGGCAGCGGCCGGUCUAAGUUUCUUGGAACAGGACGUCAUAGAGGGUGAGAAUCCCGUAUGUGACCGGCUGGCACCUUACACGUAGCUCCUUCGACGAGUCGAGUUGUUUGGGAAUGCAGCUCUAAAUGGGAGGUAAAUUUCUUCUAAAGCUAAAUACCGGCCAGAGACCGAUAGCGCACAAGUAGAGUGAUCGAAAGAUGAAAAGCACUUUGGAAAGAGAGUUAAAAAGCACGUGAAAUUGUUAAAAGGGAAGCGCUUGCGACCAGACUUGUCGGCGGUGUUCCGCCGGUCUUCUGACCGGUCUACUCGCCGCCUGCAGGCCAGCGUCGUCUGGGGCCGCCGGAGAUAGGCGUCGGGAAUGUAGCUCCUCCGGGAGUGUUAUAGCCCGUCGCACAAUACGGUGCGCGCCGGGCGAUGUCCGCGCUUCGGCAAGGACGCUGGCGUAAUGGUCGUAAGCGGCUCGUCGUGAAACACGGACCCAGGAGUCGAUCAAUCGUGCGAGUGUUCGGGUGGAAACCCUUGCGCGCAAUGAAAGUGAAC